This 505-nucleotide ribosomal RNA is filed under the name uncultured bacterium. RNAcentral's name for it is "bacterial SSU rRNA". It matches the Rfam family "Bacterial small subunit ribosomal RNA", at positions 34 to 518 of the family's 1533-position model. The record is from RNAcentral.
CGCUGGCGGCGUGCUUAACACAUGCAAGUCGAACGCGAAAGGGACUUCGGUCCUGAGUAGAGUGGCGCACGGGUGAGUAACGCGUAGAUGACCUGUCUUCAUGUCUGGAAUAAUACGCCGAAAGGGGUACUAAUACCGGAUAUUCUUGCUUUUCAUAAGUUAUGCAAGCAAAGGUGGCCUCUGCAUAUGCUACUGCAUGAAGAGGGGUCUGCGUACCAUUAGCUAGUAGGUGGGGUAAUGGCCUACCUAGGCGACGAUGGUUAGCGGGUCUGAGAGGAUGAUCCGCCACACUGGCACUGGAACACGGGCCAGACUCCUACGGGAGGCAGCAGUGAGGAAUAUUGCGCAAUGGGGGAAACCCUGACGCAGCGACGCCGCGUGAGUGAAGGAAGGCCUUCGGGUCGUAAAGCUCUGUCAAGAGGAAAGAAGUGUACAAUGGCUAAUACCUGUUGUAUUUGACGGUACCUCUAAAGGAAGCACCGGCUAACUCCGUGCCAGCAGCGGC